UCGAGGAUCUUUCGCAAUGGGCGAAAGCCUGACGGAGCGACGCCGUGUGAGUGAUGAAGGCCUUCGGGUUGUAAAGCUCUUUCGCACGGGAACAAGAGAAAGUGGUGAACAACCAUGUGAUUUGAGGGUACCGUGUAAAGAAGCACCGGCUAACUCCGUGCCAGCAGCUGCGGUAAUACGGAGGGUGCAAGCAUUAAUCGGAAUUAUUGGGCGUAAAGGGCGCGUAGGCGGAUUGAUAAGUCAGAUGUGAAAUUCCGGGGCUCAACUUCGGAGCUGCAUUUGAGACUGUUGAUCUAGAGGGUAGGCGGAGAAAAUGGAAUUCCACAAGUAGCGGUGAAAUGCGUAGAUAUGUGGAAGAACACCGGUGGCGAAGGCGGUUUUCUAGCUUAUUCCUGACGCUGAGGCGCGAAAGCAAGGGGAUCAAACAGGAUUAGAUACCCGCGUAGUCC
Molecule: ribosomal RNA, 449 nt
Filed under: uncultured bacterium
Lineage: Bacteria
Description: bacterial SSU rRNA
Rfam family: Bacterial small subunit ribosomal RNA
Source: RNAcentral